GACGAACGCUGGUGGCGUGCUUAACACAUGCAAGUCGAACGAAGAUAUGUUGAAAGCUUGCUGAUGCAUAUUUAGUGGCGGACGGGUGAGUAACGCGUGAGGACUUGUCUAGUACAGGGGGACAACAGUUGGAAACGGCUGCUAAUACCCCAUAAGCCUAAGGGUAAAAGGAGCAAUCCGGUACAUGAGAGACUCGCGUCCUAUCAGCUAGUAGGUGGGGUAACGGCCCACCUAGGCGAAGACGGGUAGCCGGCCUGAGAGGGCGAACGGCCACACUGGAACUGAGACACGGUCCAGACUCCUACGGGAGGCAGCAGUGGGGAAUAUUGGGCAAUGGAGGGAACUCUGACCCAGCGACGCCGCGUGAGUGAAGAAAUCCCUCGGGAUGUAAAGCUCUGUUGUGUGGGAAGAUAAUGACGGUACCACACGAGGAAGCCCCGGCAAACUACGUGCCAGCAGCCGCGGUAAU
This 469-nucleotide ribosomal RNA is filed under the name uncultured bacterium. RNAcentral's name for it is "bacterial SSU rRNA". It matches the Rfam family "Bacterial small subunit ribosomal RNA", at positions 28 to 524 of the family's 1533-position model. The record is from RNAcentral.